Molecule: long non-coding RNA, 282 nt
Organism: Lycium ferocissimum
Lineage: Eukaryota; Viridiplantae; Streptophyta; Magnoliopsida; Solanales; Solanaceae
Exons: 2
Source: RefSeq, a predicted model, not a curated record
GGAAACUUGAUAUACGAGUCUUAACUCACAACUUACAUUUAUGGAUGGUGUUGAUGUGGAGAGCAAGUCUUGCUUCACAUGUGGAUGUAAGCGUAUUAUCAAGUGAGAGCAACACAAAUCACCAAGCAAGUACUUAGCACUUCUAUGGUGGAGCUACGUACUUUAGAUUGUGUAAUGUUUAAGUUAUCAUAUGCUAGUGUUUAUAAAUUUAGUUUGAUAUGAAUUUGAAUUGGUAAUGUUUGUUAGUGCAUAUACUUUUAUUGGAAUUUGUUUUGAGUUGUA